This 452-nucleotide ribosomal RNA is filed under the name uncultured bacterium. Its description in RNAcentral is "bacterial SSU rRNA". It matches the Rfam family "Bacterial small subunit ribosomal RNA", at positions 29 to 524 of the family's 1533-position model. The record is from RNAcentral.
AACGAACGCUGGCGGCAGGCCUCAAACAUGCAAGUCUAGGGGGUGUAGCAAUACAUCACCGGCGGACGGGUGCGUAACGCGUGGGAAUAUACCUAUCGAUUCGGAACAACUGAGGGAAACUUCAGCUAAUACCGAAUACGUCCUAACGGAGAAAGAUUUAUCGUCGAUAGAUUAGCCCGCGUUCGAUUAGCUAGUUGGUGGGGUAACGGCCCACCAAGGCGACGAUCGAUAGCUGUUCUGAGAGGAAGAUCAGCCACACUGGGACUGAGACACGGCCCAGACUCCUACGGGAGGCAGCAGUUGGGAAUCUUGGACAAUGGGGGGAAACCCUGAUCCAGCCAUGCCGCGUGAGUGAUGAAGGCCUUCGGGUUGUAAACUCUUUCGCGCACGACGAUAAUGACGGUAGUGCGAGAAGAAGCUCCGGCUAACUUCGUGCCAGCAGCCGCGGUAAU